This is a long non-coding RNA of Siniperca chuatsi (mandarin fish), 2474 nucleotides long. RefSeq lists it as uncharacterized. The record is from RefSeq and is a predicted model, not a curated record. Lineage: Eukaryota; Metazoa; Chordata; Actinopteri; Centrarchiformes; Sinipercidae. The transcript has 3 exons.
GAGUUUGGUGGGAGAACAGUCUGAGAUAGACCUCGUCUGAUCUCCAGGGCAAGUUGCACCUGAUAGGGGAAGACUAUAGACAAGAUAAAUCUUUGGAUCUGUCUGUCUGCCAGAGAGAGCUCAAGAUGAACCCCUUCUGUCUGGACGUUAGCAUGGAUGUUUCUACAUCCCAGUAUGCUUUUCAACAGUCCCUACUGAAGAAGACUGGACCUGUUGGUUUAAAUUUAAUGCAUGUCAAAAAAUUGUGAAAAUGCCCAUCACAAUUUCCCAGAGCCCAAGGUGAUGUCUUCAAAUUGCUUGCUUGUGUCCAACCAGUUCAAAACCUAAAGAUAUUCCAUUUACAAUGUUAUCUAUGGGAAUAAGGAGAACGCACCACAAAAUAACUCGAUGCACCCAGACUUUACCGCUGUAAACAGCUUUAAUGGAUUUUCAGAAACAUUGGGAGCCCUCGGUUUCUGAGAAAUUACGUGAAACCUGCAGUUGAAUGGACAUUAAUAGCUUCUGAAUGUAGGAAAUACAUUUGGGUUUAGGCUUUUUGUGGGCAUUAAUGGUAACAGGGGAAAAAAACACUGCUGUCAUUCGUUAGGGCACAGGUUCCCUACAGUGAUCAUGUAUAGGCAGCAGGGGACCAUUUUCAGGACAGAGACAGUCUUCAAGUUUCUAUGUUGGCAAAUGUCUGUCCUGAUGAGGUGUCUUGGAGCAUGACACUGAAAAGCUCGAUCUAUUCUCCUGACACUCUGCCCUCCCUGUCGGGAAGUUAAAAGAAACUUUCCCUAUGAGGAUUUCGGCUUCACUGUCAUAAUAAUACCAUCAUUGUGAUGUGACUGGUAGAUGAAGUAGUAAGCAACAGAAUGAUCUAUUGUUUUGUAGCAGGGAUGCAUUCAUUGAUGUUGGAUUAAACUGUGGGGUUUGAUGAGCCCUAUUCUUCCUGAAUUUUCUGUUUUUGCUCCUUAUAAAGUAUAUUAGUUCUGUAUUAAUUCCAGUUCACAUGACAUGAAUGUUUUUCACAGUAAUAGAAAAUUGCUCAUGCUUGUUCCUGCUUUUUGAUUUACAUAUUGGAAAAACAUUUAGGUUCACUACACAAAGUUUCCUUUAUAGCAUAUAAGAGGCAUAGCAAAAUAGGGAAAAAUAUAACAAAAGAUUUUAUAAGUUUCCAUACCAUACUGGUUCCUACAUGCAUGUCCAUAUACUUCAUCUUCAGAACAUAUUUUCAAACUGUGUUCAUGUAUUAUUUCUCAAACAGAAGGCUGAUGUUGUGGACAUGUGCUCUGCUUUCUGGACAUAUUAGGUGUUCUGCUUUGUGUUUCUACUGAUUGAUUUAUGCAGAAAUAAAUGAAAAGCAAACCUCCUGGAAUUGGCACCUCAGCGCAGGCCCACAGUGAGUAAUCUCAGAAUGUGUACUAUCCAAGGCUCAAACUAAUGAGCUGGACUGAAUGAAAGCUUUCAUCAAAUCCACUUUAAACACUGUAAGCAGUGUUUCAGCCUGUAGGAGUCAUUCAGCAUGACUGGCUCUAUAAUGACCUCCAAAUGUGUUUUGUGUGAUUGCUGCCUUGCAGCCUCAGAGCCGAUUCAGACCAGAUCAGGCGCUGCGGCAAAAUGCCAGUCCUCCCAUUCAUUUGAGUGGGGGUAGUCGGUUUAGGCUGCAGCGGUGGGGGCCGCAAGAGAUGCCCGAGAAAAAAAAACGCAGCGACCUGCAGUGGAAAAGUUGAAACUGAAUCUAAAUUUGGAGAAAUGCAACCCGACGUCACACUGCAGUGGCCAAUCUGGCAAUCAGACUGGUUAAACUGCUCCAAGGUCAGCCUGAAAUAUCACUGAAACCAGGCGCUAUCCAGGCAGAGUUCAUGGACCAAACAAUGAUACUCUCCCAGUUGCGUCCUUCCUUGGUUUAUUUUGUGUACCCAGCUUCGACGUCUGUGUCUGGCUUGCUGUCUAUGCUGACAAAUAGUGAUACCAAGAAGCUUCCUUUGGUUUGUGCUCAUUUGUUUGAGAGAGACAGUGACAGAGAGACAGCGGUGGUUGAGCGACCUACAGAGUGAGUGAGGAGAGGGAGUGCCGGUAACGAGAAAGCCGGUGAAUCAGAGAAAUAAAAAUUUUAUUUUCCGAUUGUUUUACAGCGUUUACGUUCUCAAACAUGAAUAAACAUGCCCACACAACCCUGCAGCUAAUCACUGCAAUGCCUGAUUUGAUCUGAAUAUGGCCCCAGUCUCCCUCCCUCCUUUCUCUCACAGGAAAUUUGUACUUAUUUGUUUGAAGAUAAAUGUUGCUGGAUUUUCUGACUGAUAGGUUCAAAAUGAAGUGGUGCAUUUUUUAAAUAUACAGUAGAAUGUGAAACUGUGUCCAAAACCUUACUUUAAUCCUAACUGAAACAAUUUAACCUGACUUUAACUUAAAGAAGUCCUGGCCUUGGCCUGAUGAUGGUGCUAGUCAGAAUGGUAAAAAAAAAAGUAGCAGCCACAGUUAAAUGAUUGCACAUC